AUAUUGGACAAUGGGCGCAAGCCUGAUCCAGCCAUGCCGCGUGAGUGAUGAAGGCCCUAGGGUUGUAAAGCUCUUUCACCGAUGAAGAUAAUGACUGUAGUCGGAGAAGAAGCCCCGGCUAACUUCGUGCCAGCAGCCGCGGUAAUGCGAAGGGGGCUAGCGUUGUUCGGAAUUACUGGGCGUAAAGCGCACGUAGGCGGACAUUUAAGUCAGGGGUGAAAUCCCGGGGCUCAACCCCGGAACUGCCUUUGAUACUGGGUGUCUGGAGUAUGGAAGAGGUGAGUGGAAUUCCGAGUGUAGAGGUGAAAUUCGUAGAUAUUCGGAGGAACACCAGUGGCGAAGGCGGCUCACUGGUCCAUUACUGACGCUGAGGUGCGAAAGCGUGGGGAGCAAACAGGA
This 399-nucleotide ribosomal RNA is filed under the name uncultured bacterium. Its description in RNAcentral is "bacterial SSU rRNA". It matches the Rfam family "Bacterial small subunit ribosomal RNA", at positions 361 to 777 of the family's 1533-position model. The record is from RNAcentral.